GUGGGAGCAAAGGCGGCAUCAUGUCAUUGACCACCAAUGUCGAUGUGUUUAAGCCGCCUCGCAGAGGCUAUUACUGGAGUUAUUACAUCAUCACAAGUUCUCAAGAGCUAGAGUCCGCCCUGGCGCACCCUCUAGCGCAAACCUAUCCGGUCGUGCUCAUGUUCUGGGCGAGCUGGAACGAGCCGUGCAGGGUGAUGAUGAGACCCUUCAGGGCCAUGGCCGUGGCUAAGAGAAGGGCGGCCAUAUUCUGCCAGGUGGACGUCGACAAGUUCAAAGAUAUCGUGGAGCGGUACCGAGUGGAGGCGCUGCCGACGUUCCUGCUGCUCAAGCAAGGCGUGGAGAAGGGCAGGGUCGUCGGCGCCAAGGUCGGGGACCUCAGCAACAUCAUCAUGGCCAACAUAUAAAUGAUACAGUACUACUGGUACUAGAUUCGAUCUGUCGACUGAUGGUCUUUCAGUUUGGUAUAUUAUUGGUGAAUCAACAGUUGAGAUAUGUAUGAUUCAUCUUGUCGAAAAUCUCAACCACUUCCCUCUUAAACAGCCCUGCAGCACUCUGUCGGUCUAGGAAACUACUGUGCACAUGACAUAUAGGGUGAACGACAAUUGCACGAUGGUACAUCUAGCGGUUUGCAAACAGUUGUUUCCAUGCAUGGUCGUCUUCAAUGGAUUGUGGUUCAAAAAUCGUAUACGCAUUGUCGCCUCCAUAGCAGACCUGAUAAUUAAAUAGCAUACUGUGCAUGAGUUGUGCACUUGCCAAUACAAAGUGUUUAAUAUGUUUUUUUAAUGUAUCUAUUUUUAUGAAGCAUUAAAGUUUACCUAUUUAUAAACAUACUAUAGCAUCUGAAAAUCAUUUGUUUCUAAUUUCAAGUUUUGUUGUCCAAUUAUUUCAUUAUAUCUGGCAUUGAAUCGCUCCAUAAAGGUAAACCAAGCAACCACUAAAUCCAAACAACACCAAAGAGAGACAAUCACACAUCUAUCUAUAGAAAUACUAAGCUCCCUUGAAUUGAAGCGUUCUGGUGCUUUGAUGGUUGUGGGGGUCGUUGAGGACCCCACGCACAAGUGUGUGGUGUUUAGUUUUAUUUCUUUUUUUUCAUGUUCUAAUUCAC
This 1105-nucleotide ribosomal RNA is filed under the name Triticum aestivum (bread wheat). RNAcentral describes it as "partial small subunit ribosomal RNA". The record is from RNAcentral. Lineage: Eukaryota; Viridiplantae; Streptophyta; Magnoliopsida; Poales; Poaceae.